RNAcentral lists this long non-coding RNA (1237 nucleotides) under Sus scrofa (pig). RNAcentral's name for it is "lncRNA (ENSSSCG00055017846.1)". Lineage: Eukaryota; Metazoa; Chordata; Mammalia; Artiodactyla; Suidae. The record is from RNAcentral.
GGGGCUUCGCCGGCCUCACUAUGUUCCAGGUGAUUCCAGUGAGCAGCCAGUGUUCAUACCCUAUUUGACUCAAUAAUAGAAAAUUUUAACAAGAUUCUGCCAUUUUCAACUUUCAGAGUCUGUUGACUGUAAUCUUGCUGCUUAUAUGUACCUGUGCUUAUAUCCGAUCCUUGGCACCCAGCCUCCUGGACAGAAAUAAAACUGGAUUGUUGGGUAUAUUUUGGAAGUGUGCUAGAAUUGGUGAACGCAAGAGUCCUUAUGUUGCAGUAUGCUGUGUUGUGAUGGCCUUCAGCAUCCUCUUCAUACAGUAGCUCGGAAAAAUGCCAGAAUUCAGAUGCCAUCGGAUUUAAAUAUUUUAAGAAAAGGACAUAUCUGCAGAAAAUAAUGCAAAGAAUGGUUAACCCUUUUAUCUCUGACGAUUGAAUGAGAUAUAUUUCCAGCUGCUGUUCUCUGUUUUUGUUAUUGGACCAAUGUUCUAUAUCAAUUAGGAUGUAAGCAUUUAAUACUCAGUGUUUAAAUAUGUAUGUAACGAUCAACCUCAGUACUGUCACUACAAUAUUACAUUCUUCAUAUGUCAUUCUCUUGUGUCAGAUACCAGUUUUUAGUGAGGUAUCUUUAAGGCACAUAGUAGAAAACAAAAUUAGUAAAUUACUCAAGUUCCUUUCACUGUGAUUUGGAAAUGAUAAAUCUUCAGAGAAUGAGACCUUUUUUUGGACUAGCUUUUUUUCUGGGGAGAAAAAAAGGUUCAAUUUGUGUUUGUAAGGAUUGCAUUCAUAUUUAAUAAUGCUUGCUUUUCCUCUGGCCACACCAUUUUGAGCAUUAACCAGAGUACCUCUACUCUUAGCAAACUGUAGUUUAUUACAAGUCUUUAAACUAUUUUUUAAAAGCCUAUGCAGUUCCUUAGGAGGAAAAUAAAUGAGGUGUGACUUAAAAGUAGUAUUGAGAAAAUGUUCCUAUUUAACAUAAAAGAAUUUGGAAUACCUGACUGUGUUGUAGCCUCUGAUACCACUCUUGUUAAGUAUGGAUAAAUGUCUUAAGCAUAAAUAUGAGAAGCUAACUCAUCCUCUAAAUAAGACUAAGACCACAUACUUAGAGUUCAAAAGAGCUAAACAGAACAAUUAUACAAUGAUAAUCCUCUGUGUGUUUUUCAUUCUUUCUUAAAAGGUGUCAAACCUCCACAUUUUAAUUACCCCAGUAUGCAAAGUGUGUUUUUGUUAUUUAAUACAGCACUUUAAAU